Molecule: unclassified non-coding RNA, 1111 nt
Filed under: Hevea brasiliensis (rubber tree)
Lineage: Eukaryota; Viridiplantae; Streptophyta; Magnoliopsida; Malpighiales; Euphorbiaceae
Source: RNAcentral
GGGGCAUACAAAUUUGAGACGUCUCAUGAUUUAAAUCCCUGUUAUGUUCAGAAACCAUGACUUCCACAACCCAUUUAACAAAAUACAGAACUACGGCAAAAGCACUAACAUUCAGAUUCCUUCGAACACAAGGACAAGCCUCAUCAUCCAUGAAUUUGAUGUCUCUGGAAAACCAAGUUAUGUGGGUUGAUAUGGGCACCAGCAUACCGAUUUUGCUCCUGAAGUUUAAGGCCAUUGGAAGCAAUAUCACUGGGAGAUGACACAAACAAGUUGCCAAGAGUUGCAUCAAACACCAUAAUUGAUCCAUGCUUUGACUGGCUCCAAUCAAUUAACAUUUCCUGCAUACCAAUGGGGUUUUGUGACAGAAGGGUAUUAGACUGGUCUGGUGAGGGAGGUUUAUUACUGUCUGCUGGAGUAGUAUUAGUGAGAUUGACGGUUGUGAUGUCAUGGAUGCUUGGUCUUCUCUUGUCUUUAGCUCCAGAAAGUUGCUGCCUUAUAAAAUACUUCUGUGCAUGGCUUGCAACUUGAGUUGGAGUCUUAGAAACUACGAAAUUCCUGGAAAUAUUCCUCCAAUCCCCUUUCCCAUGCUUUAGAAGCCCCAAAAGAAACCGCCUGUGCUCAUCUUCUGUCCAUGGCACACCUUUCUUCCUCUCCUGAUCACCAUUUUUAGUAGCCAAAGGCUUCUUUCUAUAUGCAUCAAAAUUGCGAUUUUCAAUCCAAUCCAAAGUGAAAGGUGAGCUAAGGUAACCAGGAAUAGCCACCUUCCCUGCUUCUAUGUUACAAACAUCCUCUUCUAGCUCCCUGUAUUGCUUGAUCACAUCAAAAACUGUCUUCCCUGGGAUCAUAGCCGCCACUUUUGUCCAUCUAUCAGGCUCAUGCUCAUCAUAUAUUGCCAAAGCCCUCUCAAAUUCUUUGUUCUCCUCUCUAGUCCACUCUGUGCUUUGGCUAAACCAAUUGGAAUUGGACAUGUACAAAGAUGGAUAUGAAGUUUCCAUGCCUGUGAGUACUUACAGGUUCAUAUUGGAGUACAGAGGAAGAGAAACAGAAAGUAUAUGCAAAGAGUGAGGUUUUCAGAAAAUUUUUUUAUGCUCUUUUUCUUCUCUUCUUAGCA